GGCCAGUUAGCUCAGUGGUUUGAGUGUGGUGCUGGUAACAAGGACCAACACUGAGACUGCGGGUUUGAUUCCCGCUUGGUCC
Molecule: transfer RNA, 82 nt
Filed under: Apaloderma vittatum (bar-tailed trogon)
Lineage: Eukaryota; Metazoa; Chordata; Aves; Trogoniformes; Trogonidae
Rfam family: tRNA
About the family: Transfer RNA (tRNA) molecules are approximately 80 nucleotides in length. Their secondary structure includes four short double-helical elements and three loops (D, anti-codon, and T loops).
Source: Rfam by way of RNAcentral